GCCGAAGUGGUGGAACUGGCAGACGCGCUGGACUCAAAAUCCAGAGUUCUUCGGGACGUGCGGGUUCGAUUCCCGCCUUCGGCACCA
Molecule: transfer RNA, 87 nt
Filed under: Clostridia bacterium
Lineage: Bacteria; Bacillati; Bacillota; Clostridia
Description: tRNA-Leu
Rfam family: tRNA
About the family: Transfer RNA (tRNA) molecules are approximately 80 nucleotides in length.
Source: RNAcentral